This 505-nucleotide ribosomal RNA is filed under the name uncultured Glomus. Its description in RNAcentral is "SSU rRNA". It matches the Rfam family "Eukaryotic small subunit ribosomal RNA", at positions 569 to 1078 of the family's 1831-position model. The record is from RNAcentral. Lineage: Eukaryota; Fungi; Glomeromycota; Glomeromycetes; Glomerales; Glomeraceae.
AGCAGCCGCGGUAAUUCCAGCUCCAAUAGCGUAUAUUAAAGUUGUUGCAGUUAAAAAGCUCGUAGCUGAAUUUCGGGAUCAAUUAAUUGGUCGUGCCUCUGGUACGUACUGAUUUUAUUGGUUUCUCCCUUCUGACGAACCAUGAUGUCAUUAAUUUGGUGUCGUGAAGAAUCAGGACUGUUACUUUGAAAAAAUUAGAGUGUUUAAAGCAAGCUAACGCUUGAAUACAUUAGCAUGGAAUAAUGAAAUAGGACGUUUGAUCCUAUUUUGUUGGUUUCUAGGAUCGACGUAAUGAUUAAUAGGGAUAGUUGGGGGCAUUAGUAUUCAAUUGUCAGAGGUGAAAUUCUUGGAUUUAUUGAAGACUAACUACUGCGAAAGCAUUUGCCAAGGAUGUUUUCAUUAAUCAAGAACGAAAGUUAGGGGAUCGAAGACGAUCAGAUACCGUCGUAGUCUUAACCAUAAACUAUGCCGACUAGGGAUCGGAUGAUGUUAAUUUAAUGACUCA